AAGUUGUAACAAGGUUUCCGUAGGUGAACCUGCGGAAGGAUCAUUAACAAAUCCUGUGCUGCGCGGGGUAAAGCCCGCACAGUAUAUUAGACUGGCGAGUGCCGCGAGGUGCUUGCCUUUCAAAAAUUCAUGUGUGUAAUGUGUAGACAAAGUGUGAUACUAUAAUAAUUAUAUGACAACUUUUAACAAUGGAUCUCUAGGCUCUU
RNAcentral lists this unclassified non-coding RNA (206 nucleotides) under fungal sp. RNAcentral describes it as "partial contains small subunit ribosomal RNA, internal transcribed spacer 1, and 5.8S ribosomal RNA". The stretch from base 1 to 46 matches the Rfam family "Eukaryotic small subunit ribosomal RNA", at positions 1786 to 1831 of the family's 1831-position model. The record is from RNAcentral. Lineage: Eukaryota; Fungi. RNAcentral also lists the same sequence under 1 other name.